This is a long non-coding RNA of Salvia miltiorrhiza (redroot sage), 1778 nucleotides long. RefSeq lists it as uncharacterized. Lineage: Eukaryota; Viridiplantae; Streptophyta; Magnoliopsida; Lamiales; Lamiaceae. The record is from RefSeq and is a predicted model, not a curated record. The transcript has 3 exons.
AAUAUUAAAAGUGAAAAAAAAGAAAAGAAAAAAGGAAUGGAUUUUAUUUAGGAAAUUUAGAAAUUAACCCCCAAAACUACAAGCCCUAGUUUUUGUUCGUCUGUCUCUCGACUCUCUCUCUUCCCUCUCGACUCCGCCGCCGGCGCCGCUGCCCCGCGCCGGCCCGUCGCCGCCCACCCUCGCUGCUGCCUCGCGCCGCUGCCGCCCACCCUCGCUGCGUCUCAUCUCCUCCCCAAAUCUCUCUCUCUCUUCGCGAUCUCUCCCUCUUUGAGAGAUAGUCGCCGCCACUGCCGAGGCUAGUUCUGGCCAUAGAAGCGCGCCCCCCCCUCUGUCCUCCACGGCCGCAGCAACGUCAGCCACCAAGCUCGUCGCACUUCCCUCGUCUCCCUUUUAAUCUCCUCUCUCUCUGACUCAAAUGCACGCACACCACACCGCCCCUGAAAUCCUAGAUCUAUAAUCUACAGCCACCUCCCUGUCGAUUCCCGUCGACCACACGGCGGGAAGGCCGCCGACUCCGAGCGCAGCCCAAAGCCCCCUCUUCUCUCCAUACUCCGGCGACAACAGCGGCUCCUUGUCGCCGCCGUGCCCUAGCUUCAAUUUUCGGCAGCGACACCGUCUGGCGAACGACCCUGUAUACGGAUGCUUUUGGGCGAAUCGAUGUUUUGAUUGAAAUGCCAGCAUCAGAGGGUUAGAUAAUUUGAAGGAGAAGAGGCAUUUCUUCUGCAAGAGAAUGAAGAAUUUGAUGAAUAAAUGCAGCACUGAUUGUGGGUACUGGAAAUUAAGUGGCAAAUGCAAGCAAAUUAUGGCUGCGUUCAACCAAUGUUGUAGCAUCCUGAGCAUGUUCAACAUUUGAUUUUAGUAGGGCCUGCUGGAUUCACAUCUGAAACAGAACACAGGUCUGAGUGGCUUACUCGAUUUUGAGCAACAUGGAAAGGUGCCAUUUUAAAUCAUCUCUGGGAGUUUAAUUUUACACCUCAGAAGAUAGUAAGGAAUUUGUUAUUUUCCUUAUAAACUCUGUAAAAGUAAAACUAAUACGCUAGAACUAUGAUAAGCUCUAUGCUUCUCUCCCUCUUGAAUUGUUUUGUUUGUUACACCUUUGCUAAGUUCUUUAAACUUGCUUUGAGCCAUGAUUUACAAUCACAACAUCUAGCCCUAGAAACUAUUUAAUUUUCUAGUGAUGUGGGCCGCAAUUAAAUGUAAUGGAACCUAGCUGCUCUACAUGUGCCGAUGUGCGUGUACUUAUUGGGUAUACCUUGCAAAUCGAGAUCAUAGAACAUGUCAUAUUUCACUUUAAUCAAGUGUACACUUGGCAACCAAGAAUACCAAGGUUCAAAUAUUGAGAGGUGAAAUUUGUAGCAUGCCUGUUUCUUUGGGAUAUCAUGAGUCAUCAUGUCUGAUAAUAUCAGAAUAUUCAUGUGGCUGUGAAAAGUAAUUUCUUUUGUCUAUACACGUGUUCCUUGUUAAUCUUGCCAAGGCUUAUUUUAAGAGUUUGAGUACUCAUAGCCCCACUUAUGUGAAGGAUGAUUUCCCUGCCUAUUAUGCUUCCUAUUUCGUUUAGAAAUCUCUUCAUUGACUGUCACUGCAAUUUAGAAUUUGUUAGAUACUGAUAUUAUAUCUUUAGAUUGGAGUAUAUUUUAAUAAAUGUACUAAAUAGUGUGCUCCACAUGUUUUUUAUUUUUAUGUGAUGACAUGUUGCUACUGUGUAAAUGUUAUUGAAGGUGGAGGUUAGGUUUCUUAUGUUUAGUUAAUUGCUCUUAGUUUUGGGUUUUCAUGGUUUC